RNAcentral lists this ribosomal RNA (497 nucleotides) under uncultured Actinomycetes bacterium. RNAcentral describes it as "bacterial SSU rRNA". It matches the Rfam family "Bacterial small subunit ribosomal RNA", at positions 8 to 522 of the family's 1533-position model. The record is from RNAcentral. Lineage: Bacteria; Bacillati; Actinomycetota; Actinomycetes.
AGAGUUUGAUCCUGGCUCAGGACGAACGCUGGCGGCGUGCUUAACACAUGCAAGUCGAACGAUGAAGCCUUUCGGGGUGGAUUAGUGGCGAACGGGUGAGUAACACGUGGGCAAUCUGCCCUGCACUCUGGGACAAGCCCUGGAAACGGGGUCUAAUACCGGAUAAUACCUUCCCUCGCAUGGGGGUGGGUUCAAAGCUCCGGCGGUGCAGGAUGAGCCCGCGGCCUAUCAGCUUGUUGGUGAGGUAGUGGCUCACCAAGGCGACGACGGGUAGCCGGCCUGAGAGGGCGACCGGCCACACUGGGACUGAGACACGGCCCAGACUCCUACGGGAGGCAGCAGUGGGGAAUAUUGCACAAUGGGCGAAAGCCUGAUGCAGCGACGCCGCGUGAGGGAUGACGGCCUUCGGGUUGUAAACCUCUUUCAGCAGGGAAGAAGCGAGAGUGACGGUACCUGCAGAAGAAGCGCCGGCUAACUACGUGCCAGCAGCCGCGGUA